UCCCCUGUAGCUCAAUUGGCAGAGCGUUCGGCUGUUAACCGAUAGGUUCCGGAUCGCCCCGGGCGGGGGCC
This 71-nucleotide transfer RNA is filed under the name Mycobacterium sp. E3298. RNAcentral's name for it is "tRNA-Asn". It matches the Rfam family "tRNA". Rfam says of the family: Transfer RNA (tRNA) molecules are approximately 80 nucleotides in length. Their secondary structure includes four short double-helical elements and three loops (D, anti-codon, and T loops). Further hydrogen bonds mediate the characteristic L-shaped molecular structure. tRNAs have two regions of fundamental functional importance: the anti-codon, which is responsible for specific mRNA codon recognition, and the 3' end, to which the tRNAs corresponding amino acid is attached (by aminoacyl-tRNA synthetases). tRNAs cope with the degeneracy of the genetic code in two manners: having more than one tRNA (with a specific anti-codon) for a particular amino acid; and 'wobble' base-pairing, i.e. permitting non-standard base-pairing at the 3rd anti-codon position. Lineage: Bacteria; Bacillati; Actinomycetota; Actinomycetes; Mycobacteriales; Mycobacteriaceae. The record is from RNAcentral.